RNAcentral lists this transfer RNA (85 nucleotides) under Duodenibacillus sp. Its description in RNAcentral is "tRNA-Leu". It matches the Rfam family "tRNA". Rfam says of the family: Transfer RNA (tRNA) molecules are approximately 80 nucleotides in length. Their secondary structure includes four short double-helical elements and three loops (D, anti-codon, and T loops). Lineage: Bacteria; Pseudomonadati; Pseudomonadota; Betaproteobacteria; Burkholderiales; Sutterellaceae. RNAcentral also lists the same sequence under 2 other names. The record is from RNAcentral.
GCCCGGGUGACGAAAUUGGUAGACGUAGCGGACUUAAAAUCCGCAGCCUUCGGGCGUACGGGUUCAAUUCCCGUCCCGGGCACCA